GGAUGAACGCUAGCGGGAGGCCUAACACAUGCAAGCCGGGCGGGAUCCCUUCGGGGUGAGAGCGGCGUACGGGUGAGGAGCACGUGUGCAACCUGCCCCUGUCUGGGGGAUAGCCCUCCGAAAGGAGGAUUAACACCCCAUAGGAUGAUCGCCGGCAUCGGCUGUCAUUGAAAGGUUACGGACGGGGAUGGGCACGCGCAGGAUUAGGUAGUUGGCAGGGUAACGGCCUACCAAGCCUUUGAUCCUUAGGGGGCCUGAGAGGGUGAUCCCCCACACUGGUACUGAGACACGGACCAGACUCCUACGGGAGGCAGCAGUGAGGAAUAUUGGACAAUGGGUGGAAGCCUGAUCCAGCCAUCCCGCGUGAAGGACUAAGGGCCUAUGGCCUGUAAACUUCUUUUGUACGGGGAUAAACCUAUCUACGCGUAGAUAGCUGAAGGUACCGUACGAAUAAGCACCGGCUAACUCCGU
This 471-nucleotide ribosomal RNA is filed under the name Flavobacteriales bacterium 'ARUP UnID 203'. RNAcentral's name for it is "bacterial SSU rRNA". It matches the Rfam family "Bacterial small subunit ribosomal RNA", at positions 27 to 506 of the family's 1533-position model. The record is from RNAcentral. Lineage: Bacteria; Pseudomonadati; Bacteroidota; Flavobacteriia; Flavobacteriales.